AGGGUUUGAUUAUGGCUCAGAUUGAACGCUGGCGGCAGGCCUAACACAUGCAAGUCGAGCGGUAGAGAGAAGCUUGCUUCUCUUGAGAGCGGCGGACGGGUGAGUAAUGCCUAGGAAUCUGCCUGGUAGUGGGGGAUAACGCUCGGAAACGGACGCUAAUACCGCAUACGUCCUACGGGAGAAAGCAGGGGACCUUCGGGCCUUGCGCUAUCAGAUGAGCCUAGGUCGGAUUAGCUAGUUGGUGAGGUAAUGGCUCACCAAGGCGACGAUCCGUAACUGGUCUGAGAGGAUGAUCAGUCACACUGGAACUGAGACACGGUCCAGACUCCUACGGGAGGCAGCAGUGGGGAAUAUUGGACAAUGGGCGAAAGCCUGAUCCAGCCAUGCCGCGUGUGUGAAGAAGGUCUUCGGAUUGUAAAGCACUUUAAGUUGGGAGGAAGGGCAUUAACCUAAUACGUUAGUGUUUUGACGUUACCGACAGAAUAAGCACCGGCUAACUCUGUGCCAGCAGCCGCGGUAAUACAGAGGGUGCAAGCGUUAAUCGGAAUUACUGGGCGUAAAGCGCGCGUAGGUGGUUUGUUAAGUUGGAUGUGAAAUCCCCGGGCUCAACCUGGGAACUGCAUUCAAAACUGACAAGCUAGAGUAUGGUAGAGGGUGGUGGAAUUUCCUGUGUAGCGGUGAAAUGCGUAGAUAUAGGAAGGAACACCAGUGGCGAAGGCGACCACCUGGACUGAUACUGACACUGAGGUGCGAAAGCGUGGGGAGCAAACAGGAUUAGAUACCCUGGUAGUCCACGCCGUAAACGAUGUCAACUAGCCGUUGGGAGCCUUGAGCUCUUAGUGGCGCAGCUAACGCAUUAAGUUGACCGCCUGGGGAGUACGGCCGCAAGGUUAAAACUCAAAUGAAUUGACGGGGGCCCGCACAAGCGGUGGAGCAUGUGGUUUAAUUCG
This 950-nucleotide ribosomal RNA is filed under the name uncultured Pseudomonas sp. Its description in RNAcentral is "bacterial SSU rRNA". It matches the Rfam family "Bacterial small subunit ribosomal RNA", at positions 8 to 953 of the family's 1533-position model. Lineage: Bacteria; Pseudomonadati; Pseudomonadota; Gammaproteobacteria; Pseudomonadales; Pseudomonadaceae. The record is from RNAcentral.